CGGAUUGGAGUCUGNAACCCGACUCCAUGAAGCUGGAUUCGCUAGUAAUCGCGCAUCAGCCACGGCGCGGUGAAUACGUUCCCGGGCCCUGUACACACCGCCCGUCAAGCCAUGGAAGCCGGGGGUGCCUGAAGUGCGCUGCCGCGAGGAGCGCCCUAGGGUAAAACCGGUGACUGGGGCUAAGUCGUAACAAGGUAAC
Molecule: ribosomal RNA, 199 nt
Filed under: uncultured bacterium
Lineage: Bacteria
Description: partial 16S ribosomal RNA
Rfam family: Bacterial small subunit ribosomal RNA
Source: RNAcentral